GUCCUAGCCGUAAACGAUGGACACUAGGUGUUGGUGGUAUCAACCCCGCCAGUGCCGAAGCUAACGCAUUAAGUGUCCCGCCUGGGGAGUACGGCCGCAAGGCUAAAACUCAAAGGAAUUGAUGGGGCCCGCACAAGCAGCGGAGCGUGGGGUUUAAUUCGACGCGACGCGAAGAACCUUACCAGGACUUGACAUGGCCAGGACCGCGGCGGAAACGCCGCUUCCCCCGCAAGGGGGCCUGGUCACAGGUGUUGCAUGGCUGUCGU
This 266-nucleotide ribosomal RNA is filed under the name uncultured bacterium. Its description in RNAcentral is "partial 16S ribosomal RNA". It matches the Rfam family "Bacterial small subunit ribosomal RNA", at positions 793 to 1055 of the family's 1533-position model. The record is from RNAcentral.